RNAcentral lists this transfer RNA (58 nucleotides) under Loxodonta africana (African savanna elephant). It matches the Rfam family "tRNA", at positions 8 to 63 of the family's 71-position model. Rfam says of the family: Transfer RNA (tRNA) molecules are approximately 80 nucleotides in length. Lineage: Eukaryota; Metazoa; Chordata; Mammalia; Proboscidea; Elephantidae. The record is from Rfam by way of RNAcentral.
UGGCAUAAUGGUUAAAGCUCUUGGCUGCUAACCAAAAGGUGGGUGGUUAGAACCCACC